ACCCCUUGUCUAAACCACCUGGUUGCGUUCCGGCUGUUUGGGCUGUAUAGUUAGCUGUAUAUCCUGGCCGGAAGGUUAACAUAAAAUAUUGUAUUUAGAGUCUUCUGAAUUUUAAAAUAAAAGUUAGAACUUUCAACAACGGAUCUCUUGGUUCUCGCAUCGAUGAAGAACGCAACGAAAUGCGAUAAGUAGUGUGAAUUGCAUAAUUCAGUGAAUCAUCCAAUCUUUGAACGCACAUUGCGCCUUCCGGUAUUCCGGAAGGCAUGCCUGUCCGAGCGUCAUCAAAAACCACUCAAGUAGUUUUGCUUGGUUAUGAAAGAAGAGUUUGCUUGCGAAUUCCCUUUCGAAAUUCAAUGGCGGAGGGUCUCAUGAUUCCGGCGUAAUAAUAACUUAUUCGCUUGGUCAUUGUGACAAUCCUGCCUCAAACCCCCAAUUCUAGUGUUUGACCUCGGAUCAGGUAGGGAUACCCGCUGAACUUAAGAA
This 483-nucleotide ribosomal RNA is filed under the name uncultured Ascomycota. RNAcentral describes it as "eukaryotic LSU rRNA". The stretch from base 128 to 281 matches the Rfam family "5.8S ribosomal RNA". The record is from RNAcentral. Lineage: Eukaryota; Fungi; Ascomycota.